Long non-coding RNA from Macrobrachium nipponense, 2326 nucleotides. RefSeq lists it as uncharacterized. Lineage: Eukaryota; Metazoa; Arthropoda; Malacostraca; Decapoda; Palaemonidae. The record is from RefSeq and is a predicted model, not a curated record. The transcript is spliced from 3 exons.
CGACUACCUGUGGCCAGUGGUACGGACUCGGUGUGCGCUGACUCGUUGUGUAUGUGUGUGUGUAUUUUCGGUUCCUUCAACUUGUAGGUCUUUGCUGGUCUUAAUACGCAGCUAUCGCACCUUGCAGGAGAUUUCCAUAGUUCCCCUGUAAUACUGACCUCCCCCAGAGUGGUGAACAGACAGGCAGACCCAAAUUGUCACGCCAGGGCUAAACCUAAAAAUUUUUAGUGGGUGGGCAUUGGACCUGUUUUUUCUUUUUUUACUUAGCCUUCGCAUAUAAAAUAUCAUGCGUCUAUACUGUAGUACACUUAUUUCUUCAGAUUUAUGUAUCAUUUAUCGAUUGUUCGCACGUAAUAAAAAUGUCAUUUAAUAAGACACUUUUAAUGUUACAUAUUAAUGAAUAUUUUUUUUUAUUUUUAUUUAACUACAUCAACAAACAGUUUACUAAAUUCUGUCACUAUCAAGAAGUAGUGUUUUCGUAAUGUUUAGAUCAUCCGCUACAGACCUUUUGGGCGGAAUUAAUUGAGUGGGGAGCUGGGGGAGGCUAUCUGAGGUCGCUUUUGUGCAGGAAUGAUGACGAAAUUGAGUGUCAUUCAAAUGGAUGAUUAACGAGUAAUUAUGAGAGGGCAAAAAUAACUAAGAUAAAAGAAUGAUCUAUGUGAUCUUCGAAAGGGAGAUUUUUUUAUCUACCUAUAAAUAAGACGCAAAGACGGCCUUUUCUAUGAUAAACCUCAUCGUUGUUUGAAGGAAUCGGUUUUAGUGUCAUUUUUGCUGUUAACAUUACCGUCACUAGAUUCACUAUGCAUAGUUAAUAUGUCAGUGUAUGAAUAUGGAGGUAGGAAUAGGCUAACAGACUUACACAGGACUGGCCUGAACUUUUUGACCACCUGAAGCCUAAAUAGGUCAUCUGACGUCGAGGUUAAUUGCUAUUCAACAUUCACAGCAGGAGUCGACGACUGAACUCGGUAGACAAGAAGUGACGGAACUCCUAUUUCACUUCAAGAAAUGGAGUCUGACUGCAACUGACUGGAUUCGACCAUUGUCGUACUUUACUUGAUUUGUGAAGUAGACCCUUGAGAAUAAGGUUACUUACUCAUGGGUAAUUGUGAACUCAAUGAGGAGUAGUUUAUAUUAUUUUACACCAUGAGUCCUGAUUGUAUUUAUUUUUGAUAGGAGCUUGGGACAACUCCCAUGGUGGGAAGGGUGUUAAGAAUGUGUGUGUAGUUUUUAUGUCUUUCAUUAUUUUACGUAAGCAUUUCCUCUUAAUGUAUAAGCAAAGAAGCACCGACUUGCUUUGCAAGUGCAUUUUGUCUCCACAAUCUUAACGAGAUUAAUAAAUACAGUUUGAUUCAAGAUGGCUGCUGCUGACUUUCAUUUCUGAACCAGAUCGUCUUCAUUCCAGCCUCCAGAGCGCCUCAGGAUCUACAGACCUGACUACCCAAACAGACCUCUGGAGGGGUGACUUGGAAAAGAAAAUUGAGAGAGAGAUGUUGGUAUACUGACGACACCGACAGCACAAGUUCCUAGCCUCCUGAUUUCGAUUUCUUAGAAGAAUAGUUCCUAAUUUAACGACCAGAAUACAACCAGAGAAUCCCAGGACAACCAGCAGAUGAUACUAUAUAAGUCCUGAUUUCGGACAGGAGUUUGACUGGCUACCACCUGAUUGAAAGAGGCGGUUAGGAAUGAAAUGAAGAGAUGUCUUUGGUUUAGACCAAGUUAUUUUCAAUAUUGACCCCUGCUCUAGCUUCAAAACACGUCUCUGUCGCCAAUGGGAGAUCGUUUACGAAGAAUCUUUGCCCAAAAACCGAAGCUUUGAGCCAAUGAGAGAGAGGGCGAUAGAAACGUCGUGUAUAAUGGAGGCCUGAAUAGUGACAGCUGACAGGACGGUUUCCUUCCUAUACAAGAGCUAAGAACUGGUAAGAAUAUGGAGUUCCUUGGGUCAUAUUCUUAAUGUUGUAGGUUAGAAUGACCAUCGGGAAUCUUAAGACUGUCAUGGAAAGGGGUAUUGUGGGCCCGGAAUAGAGAAUUUUGGCACUUUUGCCAAGUUUUUCUGUAGGGCUUCAAAGCUGUAGAAGCUGGAUGGCCGUUGUAGUAUACUUUUUGAGAAACUGACUUGUGGUAAAUUUCUGUAGAUUCUGAGGAUCUCGAACGUAUUUGUGGUUUGGGGUCCAUAGCGGAGCUUUCGUCUUAAUUUUACAAAGGUGCUAAAGGGAGAAAGAGGCCUGCUGCGUAUAUCUGGCCUCUUUGAACCGACACAGAGACACAGACGAUGUCAGACAGACGUUUCCUUCUUGGGUUAUGUGGGAAAAGGGCCAAGUAUAGCGAU